AGUAUUGGGGUCACUGGUGUUCUGAAUUUUUCCCUAUAGAACUCAAGAGCAAAUCAAAAGCCUUCAUAUGUGAGGCUAGUGCUCUGCCACUGGGCAAGACCCUCCUUUUGUGGAUAUUUAAGACCUGACCAAGUUGUUGAGAUCAGGAUAUACACAUGAAUCCAAGGCUAUCCCAUUAACGACAGGCAAUAGGAUAGAAGUUACAAACCAGAUUUAAAGGAGGGAGAAGGGUCAGCAUGGUGGUAUGCCAUUAAUUCCAGUUCUCUGGAGGUAGAGACAGGUAGAUCUCUUAGAGUUAGAGGUUGACCUGCCUACAGAGUUAGUUCUGAGUCAGCUAGGGCUACAUAGUGAGACCCGGGGACUGUGUGGACAGGCAUCCUCAAGAUGAAAGGUGUGACCCUGUUGUGAGGAGCCCUGGAGUGGUCUGUGCAGGAGCCUCUUCUCCUGCUCUCCAUCCUGGCGUGUCUUUUGACUGACCAGGGAAAACCCAAGACCUGCGUCCCCUUCUCCAAGGUCCCCCACGACUUUGGAUUUCUCUAGGUUGAACCUUUUCCCUCCAGCUUCCAUGUCAACACAGACUUGGGUCUUAUCCCUUUGGGAUUGCGAGGCCUUGGAGCUCUGCUGGGCAGAACUAUGGGGCACUGCUUUGGAAGGAGGAGGCCUUUGCGCCUGACACACAUCCUGUACUGCAGAAGCUGGCUGUUUUUUAGGGUGGACCCCUUUUGCAUUUGGGGCUGGCAGAGAUGGGCAUGCGACAGGCUGUUCCUGAAGCAGUGUGCUCUCUGACAUGUGUAGACUUCUGAGAAAUUCCUGGAUGGAUUCGCUCUCUAGGUCGGCUGUACCCAGCUCCUUGUAUUCUCUCUUUUCCUUUUCAGAAAUCCCAAACUGCAUUGCUAGGAUCUUUUUUUUCAGGUGGAAAUUCAGUUUGGCCAAGAUAUGUGUGUUUAUUGGGUAGGGUCUGCAUGGGGGAGGCUGACUCUCUGCAGGCACCUUCUCUGUCCUUCUGUCCGCCUCUGCUCCAGGCUGGAACUCUUCUGCAGUGUCCGCAGACACCCCACUGUCAUCCUGAGCGCAGGGCUCAAGUGGGGUUAUUUGAGUCAGAGCAUUUGAUGGGCUUUUGACAGCUUUGGGCAUCUUCUCUCUGAGUCUAGGUUGGCUAGUGACUGCUGGGGAUGCAGGCCUAGAGAGAGCUACACAGUAAAGGGCAGGCAGGCCUGACAGGAAGGCCAGAUACUUAUGAUGUAAAGUUGUCUCCAGUUUCUUAAUGGUUUCCUUAGGCAGGGAUUGGGGCUUCUUACAGUGUUCAAAGAGAGUACCAGAUAAGGUUUGUGUCUCCUGGCUGAGGGUCUUUGGUUUCCAGGGAACAACUUUGUGAAGUAAGUCAGGGUCACUUUUACUUUCUGCCUGUAACUUCCUGCAUUGGCCUUGUGGAAUCCAAGGGAAGGGAGCCACUGUUGCUAAGCUUCCAGGAAUUUUGCAUUCCCAAGAUUUCCAGACUUGGGCCGGGACCUUGCCCUCCCGGAUCUGUUCACAUUUGGAAUCAACAUGGCUUUUCAACAUUUCCCUUGUCUUGGCAAACAAGUGUGGCAUGGGGAUUGUCCCUUUUGCCCGCUGUGAGUGAGAACAUGUCACCAGGCCCAUUGGCCUCUGGUUUCCCGGGCUGUGAGAUGCUCACAUUGGGUAAGCUACUGCUGCCACAGGGCAGGGACUGCGGGUCUGUUGAGGAGAGCAGCAUAUUCAUGGAGCGCUGGAUCCUCUGGGGCAGCCCCCAGCGGAGGUGAAUCAGAUGCUUCUGCAGGUGGAAUUCCAGCAGCCUUCCUGCGUGCUCUGGGAAGAUGUCCCUGGUGGGAUGUAAAAAGGGCUUCCUUGCCAAGGAAGUUUUUACUGUCUUAGCCUCACUGGGUGCUUCACACAGCAUUCGGCGCUGGUUUUGGAGGAGGAGAGCUGGCAGGCCCCACUGAAGCUUGCUGAGUUGUUUCUUUAGGAGGUGGCGUUCCAGUGCUUCACACUCAGCCAGCGACAGGAACGGGACAGUAAUCUGUGCUCCUUCACGCUCACAGGGAGUCUUGCCAUUCAGAGAGGUCGGGGAAGAGGGAAAGGCUGACUUACAUGGUGUUUUGGGUAAGAAAAGGCCCGAGAGUACCCCUGAGGGCUGAGCAUCUGUGGAGGGCUUAGACAUAUCCUUUUUCUUGCAGGUACCUUGAGAACUCAAGGAAGUAACAUCCAAGGACUCACUGUGAAGGGAUGGAAAGGUCCCAAACCGUGAAGAAUCUUUUUUGAUGGUUCUCUGCCGUCACUAAUUUCUUUUACUUCUUUUUCAUUCCAGCCCUUGACUUUCAUAAUUAAAUUGAGAACAUCACAAUUUUUCCCUUAUCGCUUUACCUUUGGCCCC
This 2392-nucleotide long non-coding RNA is filed under the name Mus musculus (house mouse). RNAcentral describes it as "long non-coding RNA chr4:42025071-42027463". The record is from RNAcentral. Lineage: Eukaryota; Metazoa; Chordata; Mammalia; Rodentia; Muridae.